This 716-nucleotide ribosomal RNA is filed under the name Pseudopyrenula diluta. RNAcentral's name for it is "mitochondrial SSU rRNA". It matches the Rfam family "Bacterial small subunit ribosomal RNA", at positions 400 to 1195 of the family's 1533-position model. The record is from RNAcentral. Lineage: Eukaryota; Fungi; Ascomycota; Dothideomycetes; Trypetheliales; Trypetheliaceae.
UAAUUUAUAUGAAUUUUUAUAAAUUAAGAACUCAAAACUUUUGAUUAUAGUUCUAGAUAAAAUAUUGAUAAUGACAAAGUUUUAUCUAUAUGUCUUGACCAAAUCUUGUGCCAGCAGUCGCGGCAACACAAGGAAGACGAGUGUUAUUCAUCUUAAAUCGGUUUAAAGGGUACCUAGACGGUAAAUUAUGCCUUAAUUGGAACGUUUUUACUAGAGUUAUAUAUGCGUGAGGAAUGUGUGAGUAUUACCAGAGUAGAGAUGCAAUUUUUUAAUACUGUUAAGACUGGUAAAGGCGAAAGCAAACCUUUAUAUAUUAACUGACGUUGAGGAACGAAGGCUUGGGUAGCAAACAGGAUUAGAUACCCUAAUAGUCCAGGCAGAGAAUUAUGAAUGCCAUAAAAUACAUUUGAUAUAUUUUAUAAAUGAAAGUGUAAGCAUUCCACCUCAAGAGUAAUGUGGCAACGCAGGAACUGAAAUCAUUAGACCGUUUCUGAUACCAAUAGUGAAGUAUGUUGUUUAAUUUGUUAACCCUCAAACAAUCUUACCACAAUUUGAAUAUAUUUAUUUAUACAAGCGUUGCAUUGUUGUCUUCAGUUAAUGUUGUGAGACUUUGGUUAGAUUCAUAAAAUUAACGUAAUCCCUUAUUUAAGUUUCUUUAACUUGAUUAGUUCACCGCUAUAUUGGAUAUCGAUAAAUGGGAGUAAGACAAGUCGUAA